RNAcentral lists this long non-coding RNA (2581 nucleotides) under Homo sapiens (human). RNAcentral's name for it is "non-protein coding LINC01991:4". The record is from RNAcentral. Lineage: Eukaryota; Metazoa; Chordata; Mammalia; Primates; Hominidae.
GUGGUCUCUCCUCUUCCCAUACACACCUUACGGAUUCUUCACAGGGUGUGAUGAUGGGAAGCCUAGACACGCUUAUCAGAAGUUUGUCCUCUUAUCGGGAUACGUCAGAAAUUAGAGAGACCCUGGCAAUCACAGCUUCCACCUCCUCAUUUUACAAAUGAGCAACUAGGCUCAGAGUACAGAAGUGGCUUUCCCAGGGUCACACAGCCAGCUUGUGACAGAGUCAGGAUUCAAGUACCAUCUCCUGACUUCUCCAUUGCACCAGACGUCGAUAGAACACAGAGAACCUAAAAGAAGAAAGAAAAAAAAAUAGAGCUUUUGGGAAUAUAUUGGGCUUCUGGUUUUCAAGGACAAUUUUAUGAUAAGUAGCAAUGAUGCCUCAAAAGCUCUGGUAGCUAGCUUGAAUGAACUUAUGUAAUAAACAUUUAUCACAGAACAUGUGUCAUCAAACACCUGCCAGUUCUGAGCGUUGGCACCAAAGCUGCUUUCAUUGUCAAAGAAAAGAGGGGGAAAGGAACUUGGCUGAACAAAGCUGGCAGACGUUUAUACUAGAAAAUUUAGAGGUAAUUUCUAGAGGAACAGAAACACAUUUUCAAAGUCUUAUAAAAUUUAUUUAAAUGUGAUUGGGUGAAUUUAGCAGUUAAAGAAGUGAAGAACACUGAGGUCCAAUUGGUGCCUGAGGCUUCUUCCAGGACCCAGUCUUUUCUGUCUGCCUUGGGCACAGAUUUCUAGAUGCCUGAAGAUGGACAGGCCCAGAGGUUGCCCAGAGUGAUGUCUGAGAUUACUGAUCUCUAUCUAGGCUUCCAUAGAAACACAUCCCAAAACGUUCUUGGUUCUUAUUGGAAUCUCAUCUCAUUUGCAGAACAUGGCCAGAGUCAAAGAGACAUGGACCAUGUGUCACUCAGACUGAGUCCAUCCAUACAAAGAGAAUUCUCUAGCCUGUAUUGGAAGUCAAUCUACAUCAGCAUGACAGGGCAUGUAGCCGAAUACGUGGCCACUUCCCUUUGGCUACCCACACAUUUUUGAACUGCAAGAUCUGUUCUUUAUCUACUCAUCUAAUGGUUAUUACUGGGAGAGCACUGGACUAUAAAUUCUGUUGCACUUGCAGGUGUAAUGAGCUCUUUGAACCUCAGUUUCCUCACCCAUCAGAUACUAUUCAUUAUCUGCCUUGCGGACAACACCUAGUUGUUGGGAACAUUGCAUGAAUGGCAGGUGGAGGUGCUUUGUAAACGCUAAAGCCUGCCAUGAAUGUGAAGGAGUGUUGCUACUCUUCUGUGCCCAACAAUGUGCUAGCACCAAGGGAGUUCAAAAGAAAUGUGAGACAUGGUCCCUACCCUCCAGGAACUUACAACUCAUUGUUGGGAGACCAAGACACAUCCCCUAAAAACAGAUAUGUAACACCUCAAGUCUGUGAAGUACUUACUAUUUAAAUGAUGCCCAGAGCCUCUGAAUCCCCUAGAAGUACAGAGGAGGGGGAGAUCAUUAAUGGUGUGGAGAAGUUGGAGGAGGUGAGACGAUGCCAGGUGAUAAAGUAGACAGAGAAGAUGAAGGUCUUUUUUUUGAGACAGGGUCUCACCCUGUUGCCCAGGCUGGAGUGCAGUGGCAUGAUCGGCCCACUGCAACCUCCACCUCCUAGGUUCAAGCAAUUCUCGUGCCUCGACUUCCUGACAUAGCUGGGACUACAGGCGCACACCGCCACACCCGGCUAAUUUUUGUAUUUUUAGUAGAGACAGGGUUUCACCAUGUGGGCCAUGCUGGUCUCGAACUCCUGACCUCAAGCAAUCCACCCACCUCAGCCUCCCAAAGUUCCGGGAUUACAGAUGUGAGCCACUGUGCCCUGGCCUGAAGAAGGUCUUUAUGGGUACGGCAUGACUGCUGGAGAGUUUUGUCACCGCUGCUUAAGGAAGAGCUUCCCAAUGUUGGAUAUGUCUGUAACUUCAUAAUUUUUUUUUAAUUUUGCGCUUUUGUGAAUUUCCUCAAUUGGCUUUCUUAUUGGCCCCCAGGAUCACACAGAACACUUCAAACUCCUCUUACGUGUUCUUGAUUUCAUCAUUUAGCUGAAGAUGCAGGCCCUGUCUUUCUUUCUGAGUUUUCCUUAGCACCCUCCUUUUAAAUUACCUUUUUCAUUGGUUAAAUGCCAUGAAACUUCAUCAAUUCUAGUUUUAGCUAUCACUUGACCCAAAGACAAGAGAGUUGAAUCCUGGACCUUAAAGAAAAAGAAAAAAGGAAAAAAAGCUUGUGGGAACCUUAUUUACCUCAACUGGGGAAAUUUUUUGCUCUUGCGCAAAGGUCAGGUCCCGUGAAACUUGUGAAAUAGGUGUUUUUAUCUCUUUUCUUUUCCAACUGAUCAGAUAGAUAUCUUUCCAGGAAUUUGGUGUCAGAAAUCAAAUUCAAUGAGUGGGAAGUUUGACAAGAUUCAGGAUAGUCUUGCCAAAUAGCACAAGAGAGGAGGUAAAGUUAGGUCAGGUCAAGGGGGCAGCAAAAAUGAAGUUUAUAACAGAUAUACUGUAUAUUUGUCAUGGGAAAGGGCUUCAGUCAAUAGCAAUUGAUAUUAAUAAAACAUAAAAGAAAUGACAAUAAA